UGCUUUGGCUUAAAAACUGACAUUUAUUUCAUUGUAAUACGACUUGGCUCCAGUGGGUUAAUGAGCAAAAGUCCUUGUUUACCACAGAUGGAGUCUUGCGGACGUCCAAGGGCGGAGAGCGAGAUCCCACCGUUGUGAGUUGAGGGGGAACGGCCGGGCAACGGGAAGUUAAAAUGGUUGGCAACCGGGAGAUCCAGCAGGCCUUGGAGGAUCGAGCGCAAGUGUGGAGUGAAAUGCACGCCUCGUCUAGAUACAAGGAACAGCAAAUGCUG
Amblyraja radiata (thorny skate) is the source of this 272-nucleotide long non-coding RNA. RefSeq lists it as uncharacterized. The transcript has 3 exons. NCBI's taxonomy places the organism in Eukaryota, Metazoa, Chordata, Chondrichthyes, Rajiformes, Rajidae. The record is from RefSeq and is a predicted model, not a curated record.